GACAGGUGGUGCAUGGUUGUCGUCAGCUCGUGUCGUGAGAUGUUGGGUUAAGUCCCGCAACGAGCGCAACCCUUGCCUUUAGUUGCCAGCAUUAAGUUGGGCACUCUAGAGGGACUGCCGAGGAUAACUCGGAGGAAGGUGGGGAUGACGUCAAAUCAUCAUGCCCCUUAUGCUUAGGGCUACACACGUGCUACAAUGGGUGGUACAGAGGGUUGCCAAGCCGUGAGGCGGAGCUAAUCCCUUAAAGCCAUUCUCAGUUCGGAUUGUAGGCUGAAACUCGCCUACAUGAAGCUGGAGUUACUAGUAAUCGCAGAUCAGAAUGCUGCGGUGAAUGCGUUCCCGGG
Molecule: ribosomal RNA, 344 nt
Filed under: Clostridium sp.
Lineage: Bacteria; Bacillati; Bacillota; Clostridia; Eubacteriales; Clostridiaceae
Description: bacterial SSU rRNA
Rfam family: Bacterial small subunit ribosomal RNA
Source: RNAcentral